UCAUAUAUCUUCCGUCGGAGCAAUUAUUUUUCAACCCUGUAGAAAAAGCGGGCUCAAUUAAUCGCGCGGAACGUUAUUUAUCUACUCUGUACAAAUAGUAGUGUUUAAAAUCGCGCGGAGAUUGUAGAAUGCUAUUUUAAGAAGUCUAUUAAAGAGAGAAAAUCCAGUAAAUACCAGAUCCAAAAAGCGCGGAACACAAAUAUCGUCCGCGAAAAUUAAGCAUUGAAUUACUGUACAAAUCUCGGGUUGUUAGGUGUUAGAAUCCCUAGUUACCCGAAAAAUUUGAUUGGAUCCGAUACUUAGAAAUAACCAAUCAGAUACUUUGUAACAAAUGCAACACAAUCAGUGCGUUCAGUAAGUAUAACGUUUCAAGAUGGCGGAGCGAAUUGCAUGGUUAUUGUUUCUACUCGAUGGAUUCGCAGAUAAUUCAGAAAUAGAUCAGAUUGGGAUCAAUAACUGUAUUGCAUACGAUCAUUUACAUGUAUUACCAGGUGUGUGUUGCCAGUAAUGGUUGAAGAUAUGCCAAACAAAUUGUGCCUCUCUAUACAGACAGAUUUCAGGUCUCAAUUUCGACUUCAAAGGUCAACAUAUCACUGAUAUCAGGAAUUCUGUACAACUGUGGAACCAUGUAUGGUACGUGACCGCACAAUGUUGGUUGGCAAAAGGAUAUUGGAAUAAGCAAAGGGACUCAACAUUACACAGUCAUUUCAACAUGUAGAGUCUUGUCAGCAAUGAUGGAGCAGUACUUCAGAUUUCCAGAAUCUCGUCAUGAGCUGAAGAUCAUUGCCUAUGAAUUUCAUGAAUGAUGUAGAAUGAUUGGACUGUUGAUGGAACCCACAGUGCAUGUCCUGCUUCAACAUCUGAGCAUAGGUCCUUUAUGGCACGCCUGAACCACAAAAAAGAGAAAAACUAAGUUUAAGUAACUUAAACUUAGUUUUUCACUACUUAAACUCAAUUUAAGUAACUUAAUUCGAAUUAACGCUACUAAAUGCAUUAAGUAGUUAAGAAGAGUUAUUUUCUAUUUAUGUGAGAAAAAUGAAUUAAGCAGAGAAAAACUUAGUUUAACUCGUUAAGUGCGCCCGAACAACAAAAAUUGAUUUUAAUUACCGUUAAGUUACUUAAAUUGCAUUUAACGCUGCUUAAAAUUAAUUUAAGUGCUUUCGCAUCGUUAAUUGUAUUUAAUUAUUACUUAAGUAAUACAAUUUUUACUUAAGUUGAAUUAUUAAUUAUCGUUAAGUCAAAACUCGCGUCCGAAAAUAAGCAUAUGAAACAAGCGUUUUGAUUGGUUGUCAGGUUUGUUAAUAAAUUCAGGCCCGAGGUCGGAAGAAAAAGAUUGCCAUGUGGUACGAGCAAAAAAUACAGAUAUUAUAAAUUUGGAUUAGAAUCUUAAGUCAGCUAAAAUUUGUUUUAGUCUGGAAUAACAUUCAAAACACCCUUUCAUCAUCAAAUUUUGCUGACAGUCAGUAACUAUGCAAUAAACAUCAAAAACGAUCCGCCCGUCUAUAUAUUUCCGGGUCAUAUCGCAUUUACCUGUAGUAAUAACUUGUCUUGUAUACGAGUAGUCAUACCAGCUUGUAUGUAGAAACUGGGACUAUAUUAUAUGUCCCAGGUAGAAAUUAAAGAUUAUAUCGUGUCACCGAAUCCAACUUAAUUAUAUUCUAUACAUGUAAAUUUUGGCUUUGAUUUUAGUAUUUAAAUGGAAAAAAAACAGUCUCCAGUAUCUCAGUAUUGGCAGUGAACUUAUAAGUAAACAAUCCCAAAAAGUACACAUAUCAGAAAUUACCCAGGUGAUAUUUUAAGUCUGAGUGCACUAUUGUCUUUUAAAAUAAUUUUAAAUGUAAAAAAAUGUACUGUUAACAUAUUAUUUAGAAACAUAUCUAACUUAAGUGUUCUGAUUUUUCCCCUUUAGAAAUAAAUAGUUUAGACAGAGACAUAUAUUCAGUAUAUAUUCCCAGUUUAGAUAUUAAUUAAAAGAACUAAUGUAUGCAUUUGUUAAAUGUCAUUCGUUCUUCCGAAAUAUUAUCCUAUAUUGUUUGAUGAGAUUCAAAAUAAACCUAAUUAAGAAUUUAAUUGUUGUUUUAGUGCAGCAGUUAACAAUUUAUAUUUUUUUAUGAGUGUGUAAAUAUUGCAAUGGUAACAAACGAAUCCAUAAUACAGUAUUAAAAAUGUCAUGAGGAUCAGUGAUUGCUCGUUAAUUGUCUUUCAUAUCCUGUAUUUGUUAUUUCAGUUCCCUUUUUAAAAACAACCAACAUUUUGUUGUUGUUUUAACAGUAUUGGUAAUUGUCUAGUUAAUUGAAGGGUACCCCUUGAUUACACAUGGGUUGUUUUCUUAAAAAGAAGGCCAUAUGACAUUCCACAAGCUAAGUCAUAGUAUGGCUUCAUCUUUUUCUUAUAAAUAAACCACCACUCAAUUGCUUGAUCAUAAUUAUCCUGAAUUCAAGAUGUCAGUUGGUAAGUAGCAAUUUUAUUUUUUGGGUGUUUUAGUUUUGUCAAAAUUUAGUCAAUAACAUCACUUAAGCCAUAACGCUUCGAUAAAAUGAUUAAACAGAUAUAUAUUAUGUUAGUAUGCAAGUGGAAAGAUAUUAUAUGGGAUCAGUUACAUAGAGACCACACUCCAUCCAAGAGAAAAACAGGGAAUUUCAAAAAAUAGUGGUCUCCACAAGUCAUCCAACAAGUCCUUGUGUGAAAAAAACAGCUAAAAGAUGCUGUAAUAUGGUUAUGGGUUAACACUGCUUGUAAUUUUCCUGCAUGAGAGCUUUUGAUAAUCAUAGUCACAUGUUGUUGUUUUUUUUGUAAUGGAAUCCUAAAGGAAUCCUUUGAAUGAAAAUAGAAUCUUGAUCAAAAUUGCUUUUAUACAGUGAGUUUCAUGACCUUUAAUAGUUGCCAACAAUGUUGAAGAAACUUAUUCAAAUAUUAAUGACUUUGAAGUUUCUGACAAUCCCUUUAAUGAAAUAAAAUUA
This is a long non-coding RNA of Dreissena polymorpha, 2960 nucleotides long. RefSeq lists it as uncharacterized. The record is from RefSeq and is a predicted model, not a curated record. The transcript has 4 exons. Lineage: Eukaryota; Metazoa; Mollusca; Bivalvia; Myida; Dreissenidae.